GCGAAUAUACCUAACAAUUUCAUAAAAUUGAAUAUAUAUAUAUAAAUCCAUACUCAUCAAAUACAUAUAAACUAAUGUUUAUAUGCUCAUCAAACACAAUGACCAAAUGUAUAUACAUAUUCUAUAAAUCCAUAUGACUAAAUCAUACACAUAUUCGAUACAUGUAAACACAUGAUAUGAAUAGAUUCACCGGCACAAAACCUGCUAGGCUUAAGGCCUGAUUCAAUACAUUGGCACUUAGCCUGCUGGACAUAUAGUCUGAAAUGUUUCACCGGCGUCAAGCCUGCUAGACUUAAAGUCUGAAAUGUUUCACCGGUGUCAAGCCUGCUAGACUUAAAGUCUGAAAUGUUUCACCGUCGACAAGCCUGCUAGACUUAAAGUCUGAAACAUAUCACUGGCAUCAAGCCUGCUAGGCACCGAGCCUGAACACUCAAUUUAUAUAAAUACAAAUCACUUUCAAAAUGUAUAUGUAUAUAAGAUUCCAUGUAUAAAAAUUUAGCUCAAUAUAUAUAAAUUAUGCCUUUAAACCACAUAGGUAUAUAAAGUUCAGAUAUUGAAUCCAGCUCAAUAACUUAAUUAUACAUAUGAUCAUAUACAGAUAUAUAACUUAAUACAUUAAGGGCUACUAUUAAUAUCAUGCAUUCGAACAUCUUAUAGUAAUCCAAGCUAACAAUUUUGUACCUUCAACUCCAUUCAAAAGCUUCACAUGAAUAUAAUUACAUAAUUGAAUCUCACAUAAACUUAUAUAAUUAUCAUACCUAAAUUCAAUACAUAAACAUGUACAUAUAUAAGUUUGUAUAUAUUCGAGUCUCAUACAUACUUUAUAAAAUAGUCAUACCUAAAUUUAACACAAAAACAUAUUCAAUUAUAUUUGUAUUUCCAAACUUCAUAUAAACUUAUAUAAAAAUUAUACCCAAACUCAAUACAAAAACAUAUACAUGUAAAUAUAUAUUUAUGUGCUCAUUCAAUUCUAUCAUAUACAUAUAAAUUUCAACUCACAUGUACAUACCAUUUCAAAACUACUUAUGCAAAUAUAACAUAUAUAUUUUUAAUCAAUCCAAUAGUUUGUACAUAUAUGUACUUACAUAUAUAUAUACAUUCGAACCUUCUAUAUAUAUACACUAUACAUACCUUUCGAUUAAUAACCAAGAAUUUAUACAUAAGCCAUAUUCAUUCUUCAACUAAAUUCAAGAGCUUACAUAUAUGUGUAUACAUAUAUGUAUAUUCGAACAUUAAUCAUAUAUUUAUAUAUAUACAUAUCAUUUUUACUUUGACUAAAUUCAAGCUAUAUACUUUCAAUUUAAGCUCAUCCAAAUACAAUAUAUAUAUGUAUAUUAAUUAAUAACAUUAAAUUGCUAGUUGACUUACCUCGGACGGUGAAAAAUCGAAAUCGGACGAUUAUUCGACGAUUUUAUCUUUCCCCCGAUCAAACUCCGAUUUCUUUGGUUCUUGAUCUAAAUAUAUCCAGAAUGAGCUAAUUUAAAUAUUAAAACAUUCAAUUUAAUCCAAAAACACAUAAAUAAGAAAAUUACCAUUUUGCCCCUAAUAUUUUACACUUUUUGCAAUUUAAUCCCAAUUGCAUAAAACACAAUUUACACAAAAUCUCACAACAACAUAGCUAGGCCGAAUCUUCCUUGUAUUCAUACAAGUCCAUGCAUUUCAUUUAUUUUUCAUUUUAGUCCCUCAAAAAUUUAUUUUUUUAAUUUAGUCCUAAUUACUCAAAUUUACCAAAAAUUUAAAGACAAAACAUGUUAAUCUAACACAUAUAUUUCAUAAUCCAUCAUCAAACAUCAUAGAACACAAUUAUUCAUUAAUGGCAUAACUCAAAAUAUUCAUCAAAAUCAAAAAUUCUAGCAUGGGUCAGAUAGUAUUCGAAGCAACGAUCUCAAAAAUAUAAAAAUUAUCAAAAACCGAGCUAGAACUCACCUUGAAUCAAGCUCAACAAUGGCCGAAUACCCUAGCUUUGUUUCUUUAAUUUCUUUUGUUUUGUUUCGUGAUGAAGAUGAAGGGAAAAAAAUGAUAAUGGCUUUUUUUUAAUGUUUAUUAUAACAUAAUAAUAUAUUAUACCUUAUUAUAACAUAUAUAUAUUAUAUUAAUAAUAUAAGAAAACCAUAUAUAUCACCUAAUGCCGUCCACUAACUUGGAAAAUGGCUUAAUUGCCACAUAGAACCUCCAAUUUAUAAAGACAAAAACAAUUAAGCACUUUCAUAUUUAACCCUCAAAUUUUCACUUUACGCGAUUUAGUCAUUUUCUCAAAUUAAGCAUACAAACAGUAAAAUUAUUUCACGAAACUUUCACAUAUAUAAUUUCACACAUAUUUAACACAGAAAAUAAUAUUAAAAUAUUUUUAGACUCGGAUUCGUGGUCUCGAAACCACUUUGUCCGAUUAGGGUCAAAAUUGGGCUGUUACAGUUUCAUUCAAUUUACACAUUUUAAGUUCUAGCUAAUCAUAUUCAUGAUAAAUACAUGUAUAUAGAUUAAGUUUAGAAAACAUUUACUUGCUAAUUGACUUACCUCGGACGAUGAAAAAUCGAAAUCGGACGAUUAUUCGACGACUUUAGCUUUUCCCUGAUCUAACUUCGAUUUCUUUGGUUCUUGAUCUAAAUAUAUUCAAAAUGAGCUAGUUUAAAUAUUAUCACAUUCAAUUUAGUCCAAAAACACAUAAUUGGGAAAAUUAACAUUUUUCCCUUGACAUUUGCACUAUUUGCAAUUUAGUCCCUAUUGCAUAAAGCACAAAAUACACAAAAUUUGCCCACACUAUGCUAGGGCCGAAUGUUCAUAGACUUCAUACAAGUCCACACAUUUCUUUUAUUUCACAUUUUAGUCCCUCAAAAAAUUAUUUUCACAAUUUAGCCCUAUUUACUCAAUUUCACCAAAAAUUCAAAGACAAAACAUGUUAAUCUAACACCUAUCUUUCAUAUUUCAUCAACUAAUAUCACAAAUCACAAAUUAUCAUCAAUGGAAAAACACAAAAUAAUCAACAAUUACAAAAAUUCAAGCAUGGGUCUUGUAGUACACAAAACAAUGAUCUCAAAAACAUAAAAAUUAUCAAAAACCAAAACCAAAACAUACCUUAAUCUACAAUAGAAAUGCCGAAACCCUAG
RNAcentral lists this long non-coding RNA (3104 nucleotides) under Gossypium barbadense (sea-island cotton). RNAcentral describes it as "long non-coding RNA (GBAR_LNC017718)". Lineage: Eukaryota; Viridiplantae; Streptophyta; Magnoliopsida; Malvales; Malvaceae. The record is from RNAcentral.